RNAcentral lists this ribosomal RNA (253 nucleotides) under uncultured bacterium. Its description in RNAcentral is "partial 16S ribosomal RNA". It matches the Rfam family "Bacterial small subunit ribosomal RNA", at positions 524 to 776 of the family's 1533-position model. The record is from RNAcentral.
UACGGAGGGUGCAAGCGUUAUCCGGAUUCACUGGGUUUAAAGGGUGCGUAGGUGGGUUGGUAAGUCAGUGGUGAAAUCUCCAGGCUUAACUUGGAAACUGCCAUUGAUACUAUCAAUCUUGAAUACCGUGGAGGUCAGCGGAAUAUGUCAUGUAGCGGUGAAAUGCUUAGAUAUGACAUAGAACACCAAUUGUGAAGGCAGCUGGCUACACGAAUAUUGACACUGAUGCACGAAAGCGUGGGGAUCAAACAGG